Molecule: non-coding RNA, 183 nt
Filed under: Desulfomicrobium sp.
Lineage: Bacteria; Pseudomonadati; Thermodesulfobacteriota; Desulfovibrionia; Desulfovibrionales; Desulfomicrobiaceae
Description: 6S RNA
Rfam family: 6S / SsrS RNA
About the family: E. coli 6S RNA was the first non coding RNA to be sequenced, but its function was unknown until recently. It consists of 184 nucleotides that fold into an extended hairpin structure with a large single-stranded internal bulge. The 6S RNA specifically associates with RNA polymerase holoenzyme containing the sigma70 specificity factor.
Source: RNAcentral
UAAACCCUGGAGGGUCAGUGAUUGGUGAUGCGUUUUUGAGCCAAUAAAGCGCAAUUAGGGUAGCUUACAACGGCCUUGUGUGCAUGCUCCGGGCAAUACCGGAGAAGCCUGAUGGGCUGUAGCCAACCCCCUCUUAACUUAAGAGGUUCAAAAUAAUUCCCAACACUGCCUUCCGGGGCUUUU